GUGGCGGACGGGUGAGUAACGCGUGACAAUCUGCCUUGCAGGAGGGGGACAACAGAUGGAAACGGCUGCUAAUACCGCUUAUGUCGAGAGACGAUAGAUUUAUCUGCCUGAAGAUGAGCUCUCGUCCGAUUAGCUAGUUGGUGAGGUAAGAGCUUACCAAGGCAAUGAUCGGUGGCUGGUUUGAAAGGACAACCAGCCACACUGGGACUGACACCCCGCCCACAUUCCUACGGGAGGCAUCAGGGGGGAAUUUUCCGCAAUGGGCGCAAGCCUGACGGAACCAUACCGGGGGGGGGAGGAAGGUGUGUGGAUUCCCAACCCCUUUUCUC
Molecule: ribosomal RNA, 329 nt
Filed under: uncultured bacterium
Lineage: Bacteria
Description: partial 16S ribosomal RNA
Rfam family: Bacterial small subunit ribosomal RNA
Source: RNAcentral